Cyprinus carpio (common carp) is the source of this 1402-nucleotide long non-coding RNA. Lineage: Eukaryota; Metazoa; Chordata; Actinopteri; Cypriniformes; Cyprinidae. The record is from Ensembl.
CAAAAAAAAUGUUUGUCUUACAGGAGCACCACUCUUCACCCCACCGGAGGUCAUAAGGCACAGCAAAUACCACGCUGACCCAGCGUAUGUCUGGGCAAUAGGUGUUGUGCUGUUUGAAAUCUUGCACGGGUUUUUGCCAUUUGGAAACCAAGACGAAAUACUGCGUGACUAUGUUAAAGCAAAACCCACUUUAUCCUCAGGUAAACAUGACAGACACCUCUUUACAGACAAAACAGUUAUGUCAGACAGGAAGUCUAGCAAGUAACAAAUGUUUACCAACAUGACUGUAGACCAUUGUUAUUUAAUUGGGGAUAUUUAGAUCAUCUAAUACUGAAAUUUUAAUUGGUAAAACAUUUACUGUUCAGAAGCUUUUUCAUGUUAACAUUGAUGUUAAGACUAACCCGCACUCUCACUCUGAAAUCUUUACAGCAUGCCAUGACCUGAUUUUCCAGUGUUUGAUCCGCAAUCCAGCGAACAGACUGACGCUAGAGCAUCUAGAAGAGCACAGGUGGUUUAAGAGCUAGAUUGGCAGAAGACAGCGGAUCCCAUGCAUCAGUUAGAUGAGAAAAGGUAGUGAAACACUCUCAGUCCCUCUCAUCGGAAGAGUCAAACUUCUUUAUAGUUCAACUGUAAUUUGCACUGGCAUAUUGUAAGAGGUGAUACAGAGAUUCAUCACAUACCUUACGUAAUAUAGUGAUGAAAACAAAUGAACAAAAUCCAUAUACAGAGGCUUUCUGCUACAAAAGAGAGAUCCCUCUCCAUCUGUGCCUUGCGGACCAGAAGACAAACUUAAUGAACCCAUCAUUCAAUCUCCAAUCUCAACCUCUGUGGCAGAUCCAUCCAGUUCUGACCCGGGUGACGUUUUCAGUUCAGGAUGGGGGCCAGCACUGUUUCCAUGUUUGUUGCAGACUUGUGAAGCCCUCCAUCAUGUUCUAAAAAAGCACAAUCUGAAGGUACAUAUUUGUGUAAUUACAAAAUUGCUUUAUCUAAGUUUGAUUGAUGUGUCAUUGUUCUAAACCUUUAGUUUUCAGGCUGAUGCAUUUUGUUCUUAUUUCACUUUUUAUUUAAAGUGCGUGCAUGACAGUUUGCAGAUGCUAGAGAUUAUGGAGCACUUUUUAUGAUAAUGGACACACUUCAUUUUGCUUCAAAAUCUUCAACACCAUUCACACCAUUAUAAAUCUUGGAAGAGCCAGGACAUUUUUUUUUUUUACUAUAACUACGAUAGUAUUUAUCUGAAAGAAGAAAGUCAUAUACACCUAGGAUGACUUGAGAGUGAGUAAAUCAUGGUGCAAUUUUCAUUUUUAGGUGCACUAUCCCUUUAAUUCUACAGUGUAAGACUGUUCCCACAUGCACUGCACAGUUUAAGAAUAAAAUUAAAAUUUAAAAAAGUGAUCUUCUGUCA